GUAGGGUCCAAGCGUUAAUCGGAAUUACUGGGCGUAAAGCGUGCGCAGGCGGUUGUGCAAGACCGAUGUGAAAUCCCCGAGCUUAACUUGGGAAUUGCAUUGGUGACUGCACGGCUAGAGUGUGUCAGAGGGGGGUAGAAUUCCACGUGUAGCAGUGAAAUGCGUAGAGAUGUGGAGGAAUACCGAUGGCGAAGGCAGCCCCCUGGGAUAACACUGACGCUCAUGCACGAAAGCGUGGGGAGCAAACAGGAUUAGAUACCCUGGUAGUCCACGCCCCUAAACGAUGUCAACUAGUUGUUGGGGAUUCAUUUCCUUAGUAACGUAGCUAACGCGUGAAGUUGACCGCCUGGGAGUACGGUCGCAAGAUUA
Molecule: ribosomal RNA, 369 nt
Filed under: uncultured organism
Description: partial 16S ribosomal RNA
Rfam family: Bacterial small subunit ribosomal RNA
Source: RNAcentral